Long non-coding RNA from Stegastes partitus (bicolor damselfish), 184 nucleotides. RefSeq lists it as uncharacterized. The transcript has 3 exons. The record is from RefSeq and is a predicted model, not a curated record. NCBI's taxonomy places the organism in Eukaryota, Metazoa, Chordata, Actinopteri, Pomacentridae.
UUAAACAGCAUCAAAUUUGGAUUUUUUUGUAGUUUAACCCUUGUGUGAUGUUCAUAUUUUUGUUACUUAGCCAGUGUUGGCGGGUCUGGUGGACCCGCUGCAAUUUUGGGGGUUUAAUUCAACACAAUCAAACAAUUUUAUGUUCAAAUGCUUAACAGAUGUUUACUUCAUCCCAAUUACAAGC